RNAcentral lists this long non-coding RNA (776 nucleotides) under Mytilus galloprovincialis (Mediterranean mussel). The record is from RNAcentral. Lineage: Eukaryota; Metazoa; Mollusca; Bivalvia; Mytilida; Mytilidae.
AAGUUCUUUUCUUAAUUGUCAUUCAUCAUCCUGAACUCAGGAAUGGGGGAAAUUCUAAUAGUGUUUAUCGUUUUCUAUUGAUAUGAAAAAAAUCAAAUUACGAAUUUAACAGGGCAAAUUAGUUUCCUCUUAACCCUUAAAAAAUGCCUAGCCUCCUUGACCAUAUACUAUCAUCAGAAAAAAAUAUCCAUUCCGUUCCAUUCGUCCUAUGUAUGUUUAUAUUUUCUGAACUGAAAACUUUCAUUAUAAUAUGUAAAUGCAAUUCACCCAUUCCGGCAACAAUAUUGGUGCUCAAGUAGGUCCUCCUUUGAAUGUGUGGGAUGUAAAAAUACGGCACAAGUCACAAUUAUUUCCUUAUCCAUAUACUCUUAUUUCAAGUUCCAGUUCAAAUUUCGCAUACUGUAUCCCUGUCGACCCCCUACUUUGCAGAACCUACCUACUAUAGUAUUUGUUAAUUUGUUUUCGUCUUGAAUAUGUUUGCAAUAUUUGCCACUGCACAUUAAGCAAACAGCAACCAUCAAUCAUUUCAUAUAAUAAUGCAAUACAAGUAGUGUCUUCUAAACAGAUCCCGAAACUUUUCUUUAAAAUAAAUCCGUCGUAUAAACUGAUCCUCUAGUUCCAGCAAAUAAAAAAAACCCACAAUUUCUCCUGGUACCCUCAUAAUGAACAGAUUUUAAUGAACCAUUUCUCAAAUAUCCAACAUACUAUUAAUUUUUUUUAUAAUACUGAUCUUAAAAUUUGAUUUAAACAUUAAGUACUGUCUUAUAUAUUUCGCC